ACUUCGUAAUGUGUGUUUCUACUGUCAAAUUUUUUCCAAACUUUUAUUUUUGUUUUCUAAAAUCAAUUUGCCUGCGGGCGCCAACACCUCCCUUCAAUUUUUUUUUUAUGAUUUUAACUCUAGCCAAAUUUUUUAAACAUUAACAAUCUGGUACCCUUUGAAUAAUUCUUUAAUGAACUAAAUAUUUUGAAUAGUUUUUUCUGUUUAAGAUUUUGGAGAUUUUAGUUUGAUGUUUGUAAUGUGUAAUCCAACAAUAUAAUUUAUAUACAUUUUUUUUUGUAUUCUAAAAUGCAUUUGCCGGCGGGCGCCAACACCUUCCUUCAAUUUUUUUUUAUAAUUUUAACUCUAGCCGAAUUUUUUAAACAUUUUUAGUACUGUAACUUUAGUUGAAUAUUUUGUAUUGACUUGAAAAUUGAUAAUUUGGUGCCCCAUGAAUAAUCAUUCUUUAAUGAACUAAAUAUUUUGAAUAGUUUUUUCUGUUUAAGUUUCGGGACAUUUUAGUUUGAACUUCGUAAUAAUUUUCAAAUUUUAUAGAAUUGAGGAAAAUUUGAAAAACCGGUACUGGUUCCGUUAAGGUAUAAUUAAAUUAAUCCAACUGUGAUAUUUAAAUUAAUGUUAAAGAUAUAUUUAAGGUAUUAGUGUUUUAAAACAGUCAGUACUCAUCACUUUAGUCACAAUGUGGUAAAUCCUAGUUUUUGCACUUUUCGGAACGUUAUUGACUUAGUGACAAAAUAGUGAUAAAAGUUGAAAAUCAAAAUUAUAUUUUAAUACUACAUUAAAAACCGAACAGGAAUUUAACAAGUAAUAACUAAUAACGAAUAUCUUUAAUGUUCUAUUGUCAAUCAAGGAUGAAAAAAAUAUAUAUAAAUUUCAUUAGGUAGAAAAUGAGUAUGGAAGUUUUUAUGCCUUCGAUUCUGGGUAUAAAUUAUGGAUACGUGAUUUAUUUAGGAGUUAUAUAGAAAAUAAGGCUGCGCUUUUUACAAUU
Molecule: long non-coding RNA, 985 nt
Organism: Metopolophium dirhodum (rose-grain aphid)
Lineage: Eukaryota; Metazoa; Arthropoda; Insecta; Hemiptera; Aphididae
Exons: 3
Source: RefSeq, a predicted model, not a curated record